GACGAACGCUGGCGGCGUGCUUAACACAUGCAAGUCGAACGGGAUUUAGUAGACAGAAGCCUCGGCUAAAGAUUACUAAUGAGAGUGGCGAACGGGUGAGUAACGCGUGAGCAACCUGCCUAUGACAGUGGGAUAGCCUCGGGAAACCGGGAUUAAUACCGCAUAAAAUCGUAGAAACACAUGUUUUAACGGUCAAAGAUUUAUCGGUCAUAGAUGGGCUCGCGUCUGAUUAGCUAGUUGGUGAGAUAACAGCCCGCCAAGGCGACGAUCAGUAGCCGGUCUGAGAGGAUGAACGGCCACAUUGGAACUGAGACACGGUCCAAACUCCUACGGGAGGCAGCAGUGGGGAAUAUUGCACAAUGGGGGAAACCCUGAUGCAGCGACGCCGCGUGAACGAAGAAGGUAUUCGUAUCGUAAAGUUCUGUCCUAUGGGAAGAUAAUGACAGUACCAUAGAAGAAAGCUCCGGCUAAAUACGUG
RNAcentral lists this ribosomal RNA (478 nucleotides) under uncultured bacterium. RNAcentral's name for it is "partial 16S ribosomal RNA". It matches the Rfam family "Bacterial small subunit ribosomal RNA", at positions 28 to 507 of the family's 1533-position model. The record is from RNAcentral.